This 540-nucleotide ribosomal RNA is filed under the name Trichuris muris. RNAcentral describes it as "16S ribosomal RNA". It matches the Rfam family "Bacterial large subunit ribosomal RNA", at positions 1783 to 2700 of the family's 2925-position model. Lineage: Eukaryota; Metazoa; Nematoda; Enoplea; Trichinellida; Trichuridae. The record is from RNAcentral.
UAAUAUUCUACUGUUUAUUAAAAACAUUUUAAUAUUACUAUAUUAUAUAUUCCUGCCCACUGAUACAUUUAAAUGGCCGCAGUAAUCUGACUGUGCUAAGGUAGCAUAAUCACUUGUUUAAUAAUUUUAAACUAGAAUGAACGGAAAAAAGCAAUAUUAAUUUUUAAUUAAUAAAUCCAGUUUAAAUCAUUCAAAAAGUGAAAAAACUUUUUGUAACUAUAAAAACGAGAAGACCCUAGAAAUUUUCAUUUUAGUUGGGACAAUUUAUUUAAUUAAAUAUAAAUACCCUUCAUACAAUUGAAAUAAAUUAAAUUACUCUAGGGAUAACAGCAUAAUAAUUAAAAAGAGACCUAAUCUAAAUAGUUGAUUGUGACCUCGAUGUUGAAUCAUUUUAUAGUAAAAUUUGCAGCAGAAUUUUACUUAUCGUCUGUUCGACGACURAGAAUUACGUGAUUUGAGUUUAAACCGUCGUAAGACAGGUUGGAUUCUCUUUUAUAGUUAUAUAUUAACGUUUGUAUUAGUACGAAAGGAUCAUACAAA